UUUCCGUAGGUGAACCUGCGGAAGGAUCAUUCAUAAUAAAGUGUUUUAUGGCACUUUUUAAAAAUCCAUAUCCACCUUGUGUGCAAUGUUAGAUCUCGUCAAUCUUGGCGAGAUUUUUAUACAUCAACUCAUUCUUUAACUAAUUUGUCUGAAAAAUAUUAUGAAUACUUAAUUCAAAAUACAACUUUCAACAACGGAUCUCUUGGCUCUCGCAUCAAUGAAGAACGCAGC
RNAcentral lists this unclassified non-coding RNA (231 nucleotides) under plant metagenome. RNAcentral describes it as "partial contains small subunit ribosomal RNA, internal transcribed spacer 1, and 5.8S ribosomal RNA". The stretch from base 183 to 231 matches the Rfam family "5.8S ribosomal RNA", at positions 1 to 49 of the family's 154-position model. The record is from RNAcentral.